CGGCGGACGGGUGAGUAACACGUGGGUAACCUACCUAUAAGACUGGGACAACUUCGGGAAACCGGAGCUAAUACCGGAUAAGAUAUCGAACCGCAUGGUUCGAUAGUGAAAGAUGGUUUUGCUAUCACUUAUAGAUGGACCCGCGCCGUAUUAGCUAGUUGGUGAGGUAACGGCUCACCAAGGCAACGAUACGUAGCCGACCUGAGAGGGUGAUCGGCCACACUGGAACUGAGACACGGUCCAGACUCCUACGGGAGGCAGCAGNG
RNAcentral lists this ribosomal RNA (266 nucleotides) under uncultured Staphylococcus sp. Its description in RNAcentral is "partial 16S ribosomal RNA". It matches the Rfam family "Bacterial small subunit ribosomal RNA", at positions 96 to 356 of the family's 1533-position model. Lineage: Bacteria; Bacillati; Bacillota; Bacilli; Caryophanales; Staphylococcaceae. The record is from RNAcentral.